AACAUCGCGCACCUGCGGGAACCUGCGGAGGGAUCAUUACAGAGUGUAAAAACUCCCAAAACCCAUGUGAACAUACCUUUUUGUUGCUUCGGCGGGAUCGCCCCGGGCGCCUUGUGUGCCCCGGAGUCAGGCGCCCGCCGGGGGACCCAAACUCUUGUUUUUAACGAGUAUCUUCUGAGUAACGUUUUUAAAUAAAUAAAAACUUUUAACAAUGGAUCU
This 219-nucleotide unclassified non-coding RNA is filed under the name soil metagenome. RNAcentral describes it as "partial contains 5.8S ribosomal RNA, internal transcribed spacer 2, and large subunit ribosomal RNA". The record is from RNAcentral.